GCGUAGGAAUCUACCUAGUAGUACGGAAUAGCCAUUAGAAAUGGUGGGUAAUACUGUAUAAUCCCCGAGGGGGAAAGAUUUAUCGCUAUUAGAUGAGCCUACGUUAGAUUAGCUAGUUGGUGAGGUAAUGGCUUACCAAGGCCAUGAUCUAUAGCUGGUCUGAGAGGACGAUCAGCCACACUGGAACUGAGAUACGGUCCAGACUCCUACGGGAGGCAGCAGUGGGGAAUAUUGGACAAUGGGCGAAAGCCUGAUCCAGCUAUGCCGCGUGAGUGAAGAAGGCCUUCGGGUUGUAAAACUCUUUCAAUAGGGAAGAUAAUGACGGUACCUAUAA
RNAcentral lists this ribosomal RNA (334 nucleotides) under uncultured bacterium. Its description in RNAcentral is "bacterial SSU rRNA". It matches the Rfam family "Bacterial small subunit ribosomal RNA", at positions 115 to 484 of the family's 1533-position model. The record is from RNAcentral.